CUUUUAACCUUCUAGGAAAGAUUCUGGUUCCAUAAAACACAUAUUAAAGCAAUAAUCAAAAUAAAUAACAAGUUUAAUCUCAAAAGCAGAUAAGUUAAAGUACUGAAGGACUUACGAAAACAGAAGGUAAAAGGACACAGACAUCAAGUGGCAUUCUAAUGCAUGAUUACUAAUAAUCCAAGGGCAUAACUCGCUGAGUAAAAGAUAGGCAGGUCACUGCGAUGAACAAGGAAUGGGAAACUCUAAAGUAAAAGAUGAAGCUCUGCAUGCGAAAUGGUAUUAAGAAACUUUUGAACAACAGCAAAACUUUUGCUAUCCUUUACGAGGAUACGUUCGAUUUAACCAUUCAUUGUAAAGCUUCACCUGACGCACCAAUGAUUUUGUAAACGUUGUAUCAGAAAACAAUCCAGAAAACAUACUUCCAUAAUCAUUACGGACAGCGCAAAUCCAUAAAACACCCUCUUCCUUACCAUCUCCGUCCAGUUUCUUAGAAACAAAGUCAACAGAGUCAUAAAGAGCAACGACACCAUUCCCUCCUCCACUGGAGGAACCUGGAUAUGUAACUGGAGUUUGAAGAACAAUAAAAGAAUCCGGGUCCAGCAUCACAGAAACCACCAAUUGUCUGUAAACUCGAUUCCGAAAGAACCAAGGGGUUUUGUA
This is a non-coding RNA of Schizosaccharomyces pombe (fission yeast), 660 nucleotides long. The record is from the annotation of a GenBank genome assembly. Lineage: Eukaryota; Fungi; Ascomycota; Schizosaccharomycetes; Schizosaccharomycetales; Schizosaccharomycetaceae.